RNAcentral lists this long non-coding RNA (602 nucleotides) under Ananas comosus (pineapple). RNAcentral describes it as "long non-coding RNA (ACOM_LNC023702)". Lineage: Eukaryota; Viridiplantae; Streptophyta; Magnoliopsida; Poales; Bromeliaceae. The record is from RNAcentral.
UGAAAAUAGUACAACAAUGAUCACAAAAAAGAAUAAGAUUGUAUCUACUCAAUACACUACAACAAAAACGGUCUAUAGCGACACUUUUAAAUGUAGCUACAUAUCAAAAAAGUGCUGCUAGCUAAAAUUACCGACACUUUUAAAAAGUGUUGCUAUAUGUGGGGUCGCUAGGUAUAUAGUGACAGUUAAAGAGUGUUAUAUAACCUAAAAGAGUGCUGCUAAUUUACCAACACUUAUUUAAGUAUUUAGCAACCGCCGAAACUCUAUCUCGUUGGCUGCGGUGCCGGAGGAGGACGACAGGAAAGGCUCUUCGUCUAGAAUUCCAGUGGAUUGAGUGAAGAGAGAAGAAAAGAUGGUAAUUGAUUUUUUUUUUUUCUUUUCUGUUUGUAAUCGGGCCAAAUGGACUGGGUGUGGUGAGUUGAGUAGAGUAAUCUUUUAUUUUUGUUUGGAUUGGGCUUUAUAUUUAGGCAUUAGUAGAUAUUUUUUUUAAGUUUUAGGAUAAAUGGGACACUUACUCAAAAGUGUCCCAAACAUAUGUCCCUAUAACCUAAUACUGUUGUAGUGAUAUUUAAAUAUUUUUAAAUAGUUGCUGGAAUUUGUGU